CCCCAGACUCCUACGGGAGGCAGCAGUGGGGAAUAUUGCACAAUGGGGGGAACCCUGAUGCAGCGACGCCGCGUGGGUGAAGGAGCGUUUCGGCGCGUAAAGCCCUAUCGGCAGGGAAGAAGGAGGACGGUACCUGACUAAGAAGCCCCGGCUAACUACGUGCCAGCAGCCGCGGUAAUACGUAGGCGGCAAGCGUUAUCCGGAUUUACUGGGUGUAAAGGGGGCGCAGACGGCAGCGCAAGCCAGGAGUGAAAGCCCGGGGCCCAACCCCGGGACUGCUCUUGGAACUGCGCGGCUGGAGUGCAGGAGGGGCAGGCGGAAUUCCUGGUGUAGCGGUGAAAUGCGUAGAUAUCAGGAGGAACACCGGUGGCGAAGGCGGCCUGCUGGACUGCGACUGACGUUGAGGCCCGAAAGCGUGGGGAGCAAGCAGGAUUAGAUACCCUCGUAAAA
Molecule: ribosomal RNA, 450 nt
Filed under: uncultured bacterium
Lineage: Bacteria
Description: partial 16S ribosomal RNA
Rfam family: Bacterial small subunit ribosomal RNA
Source: RNAcentral